This 274-nucleotide ribosomal RNA is filed under the name uncultured bacterium. Its description in RNAcentral is "partial 16S ribosomal RNA". It matches the Rfam family "Bacterial small subunit ribosomal RNA", at positions 523 to 796 of the family's 1533-position model. The record is from RNAcentral.
AUACGGAUGGUGCGAGCGUUGUUCGGAAUUACGGGGCGUAAAGGGCGCGUAGGCGGCGAUGUAAGUCAAAUGUGAAAGUCCUCGGCUUAACCGGGGAAGUGCAUCUGAAACUGCAUUGCUUGAGUAUGGGAGAGGAAAGUGGAAUUCCCGGUGUAGAGGUGAAAUUCGUAGAGAUCGGGAGGAAUACCGGUGGCGAAGGCGACUUUCUGGACCAAUACUGACGCUGAGGCGCGAAAGCGUGGGGAGCAAACAGGAUUAGAUACCCUUGUAGUCC